AUAGCAGGUUGGUUUGUCGCUUUCCAAAUUUUUUGGAAAGAGGAAAGUCCGGGCAACACAGAGCGCCAUACUUCCUAACGGGAAGCUGUCCGCAAGGGCAGAGUAGCGUAACAGAAAACAACCGCCUUGUUUGAGGUAAGGGUGAAAAGGUGAGGCAAGAGCUCACCGGUAAGAGUGGCAACACUUUUAGCCGUACGCCUUAUGGGUUGCAAGAUCAUGUAUAUCGACGCAUGUAGGAUGGCUCGUCCGAUGUCGAGGGGUAGAUCGCUUAAAGCAAGUGGCGACAUUUGCUUCAGAUAAAUGACAAACGCUUUGCUUUUGCAAAGUACAAAACCCGGCUUACAAACCUGCUAUUUUU
Molecule: RNase P RNA, 358 nt
Filed under: Paludibacteraceae bacterium
Lineage: Bacteria; Pseudomonadati; Bacteroidota; Bacteroidia; Bacteroidales; Paludibacteraceae
Description: RNase P RNA component class A
Rfam family: Bacterial RNase P class A
About the family: Ribonuclease P (RNase P) is a ubiquitous endoribonuclease, found in archaea, bacteria and eukarya as well as chloroplasts and mitochondria. Its best characterised activity is the generation of mature 5'-ends of tRNAs by cleaving the 5'-leader elements of precursor-tRNAs.
Source: RNAcentral